CUGUACAGUUCAGAGUUUGAUCCUGGCUCAGAUUGAGCGCUGGCGGCAGGCCUAACACAUGCAAGUCGAGCGGAUGACGGGAGCUUGCUCCUUGAUUCAGCGGCGGACGGGUGAGUAAUGCCUAGGAAUCUGCCUGGUAGUGGGGGACAACGUUUCGAAAGGAACGCUAAUACCGCAUACGUCCUACGGGAGAAAGCAGGGGACCUUCGGGCCUUGCGCUAUCAGAUGAGCCUAGGUCGGAUUAGCUAGUUGGUGGGGUAAUGGCUCACCAAGGCGACGAUCCGUAACUGGUCUGAGACGGACUGAUCCAGUCACACUGGAACUGAGACACGGUCCUAG
Molecule: ribosomal RNA, 339 nt
Filed under: uncultured bacterium
Lineage: Bacteria
Description: bacterial SSU rRNA
Rfam family: Bacterial small subunit ribosomal RNA
Source: RNAcentral